This 653-nucleotide ribosomal RNA is filed under the name uncultured Alphaproteobacteria bacterium. RNAcentral's name for it is "bacterial SSU rRNA". It matches the Rfam family "Bacterial small subunit ribosomal RNA", at positions 40 to 737 of the family's 1533-position model. The record is from RNAcentral. Lineage: Bacteria; Pseudomonadati; Pseudomonadota; Alphaproteobacteria.
CGGCAGGCUUAACACAUGCAAGUCGAACGGGCGUAGCAAUACGUCAGUGGCAGACGGGUGAGUAACGCGUGGGAACGUACCUUUUGGUUCGGAACAACACAGGGAAACUUGUGCUAAUACCGGAUAAGCCCUUACGGGGAAAGAUUUAUCGCCGAAAGAUCGGCCCGCGUCUGAUUAGCUAGUUGGUGAGGUAAAAGCUCACCAAGGCGACGAUCAGUAGCUGGUCUGAGAGGAUGAUCAGCCACAUUGGGACUGAGACACGGCCCAAACUCCUACGGGAGGCAGCAGUGGGGAAUAUUGGACAAUGGGCGAAAGCCUGAUCCAGCCAUGCCGCGUGAGUGAUGAAGGCCCUAGGGUUGUAAAGCUCUUUUGUGCGGGAAGAUAAUGACGGUACCGCAAGAAUAAGCCCCGGCUAACUUCGUGCCAGCAGCCGCGGUAAUACGAAGGGGGCUAGCGUUGCUCGGAAUCACUGGGCGUAAAGGGUGCGUAGGCGGGUUUUUAAGUCAGAGGUGAAAUCCUGGAGCUCAACUCCAGAACUGCCUUUGAUACUGAGAAUCUUGAGUUCGGGAGAGGUGAGUGGAACUGCGAGUGUAGAGGUGAAAUUCGUAGAUAUUCGCAAGAACACCAGUGGCGAAGGCGGCUCACUGGCCCGA